RNAcentral lists this ribosomal RNA (460 nucleotides) under uncultured bacterium. RNAcentral describes it as "partial 16S ribosomal RNA". It matches the Rfam family "Bacterial small subunit ribosomal RNA", at positions 338 to 795 of the family's 1533-position model. The record is from RNAcentral.
CCUACGGGUGGCAGCAGUGAGGAAUAUUGGUCAAUGGGCGCGAGCCUGAACCAGCCAAGUAGCGUGAAGGAUGACUGCCCUACGGGUUGUAAACUUCUUUUAUAAAGGAAUAAAGUGCGGCACGUGUGCCUUUUUGUAUGUAAUUUAUGAAUAAGGAUCGGCUAACUCCGUGCCAGCAGCCGCGGUAAUACGGAGGAUCCGAGCGUUAUCCGGAUUUAUUGGGUUUAAAGGGAGCGUAGAUGGGGUGUUAAGGAAGUUGUGAAAGUUUGCGGUUCAACCGUAAAAUUGCAAUUGAUAAUGGCAGCCUGGAGUACAGUUGAGGUAGGCGGAAUUCGUGGUGUAGCGGUGAAAUGCUUAGAUAUCACGAAGAACUCCGAUUGCGAAGGCAGCCUACUAAACUGCCACUGACAUUGAUGCUCGAAAGUGUGGGUAUCAAACAGGAUUAGAUACCCCAGUAGUC